AAUCCAUGCAUUGGACAUUUUCGAAUUAAAUCUUUGAAUCGUUCCCAAGCUUCCUAUAGUGUUCCAUCCUCAAAUUACUGAAAAGAUAUGAUUUAAUUUCUAAGCUU
Gossypium raimondii (Peruvian cotton) is the source of this 107-nucleotide non-coding RNA. NCBI's taxonomy places the organism in Eukaryota, Viridiplantae, Streptophyta, Magnoliopsida, Malvales, Malvaceae. The record is from Rfam.